GAUGAACGCUGGCGGCGUGCCUAACACAUGCAAGUCGAGCGAACAGACGAUGAGCUUGCUCCUUUGACGUUAGCGGCGGACGGGUGAGUAACACGUGGAUAACCCACCUAUAAGACUGGGAUAACUUCGUGAAACCGGUGCUAAUACUGGAUAACAUGUUCAACGGGAUGGUUCAACAGUUAAAGAGGGUCUGGCUGGCACUUAUAGAUGGAUCCGCGUCGCAUUAGUGAGUUGGUAAGGUAACGGCUUCCCGAGGCAACGGUGCGGAGCCGACCUGAGAGGGGGUUCGGCCACACUGGAACUGAGACACGGUCCAGACUCCUACGGGAGGCAGCAGUAGGGAAUCUUCCGCAAUGGGCGGAAGCCUGACGGAGCAACGCCGCGUGGGUGAAGAAGGUCUUCGGGUCGUAAAACUCUGUUAUUGGGGAAGAACAAAUGUAUCAGUAACUAUGCACGUCUUGACGGUACCUAAACAGAAAGCAACGGCUAACUACGUG
Molecule: ribosomal RNA, 497 nt
Filed under: uncultured bacterium
Lineage: Bacteria
Description: partial 16S ribosomal RNA
Rfam family: Bacterial small subunit ribosomal RNA
Source: RNAcentral